RNA transcript from Carcharodon carcharias (great white shark), 4944 nucleotides. It is a transcript of the gene named CWF19 like cell cycle control factor 1, with no coding region annotated. The transcript is spliced from 17 exons. The record is from RefSeq and is a predicted model, not a curated record. NCBI's taxonomy places the organism in Eukaryota, Metazoa, Chordata, Chondrichthyes, Lamniformes, Lamnidae.
GGAACUUUAACGCUGUAGUUUCCGGGGGGAUGUUGCCCAGAAUGCCGCGCGGCCGGUGACGGUUGAUUUGAAUCCGCCGCCAGCGCGAGGCCGGGGAGAAUGAUGAGCGGGAGAGCGCUCAAGAUAUUGGCUUGUGGAGAUGUUGAAGGGAAACUGAAUGCAUUGUUUAACAGAGUGCGAUCAAUUCAAAAGAAAAGUGGAGAUUUUGAUUUGCUGUUGUGUGUGGGAAAUUUCUUUGGAACCACAGCAGAGGCAGAAUCAGAAUGGGCAGAAUACAAAUCUGGAGCCAAGAAAGCUCCCAUGCAAACAUAUGUAUUGGGAGCCAACAAUCAGGAGACCACAAAAUAUUUCCCAGAUGUAGAUGGAUGCGAAUUGGCAGAAAACAUAACUUAUUUAGGUCGUAAAGGUGUUUUUACAGGUGCAUCGGGUUUGCAGAUUGCUUACUUGAGUGGUACAGAGACCCAGCAUGAACCUGCACCUGCUUAUUGCUUUACAUCAAAAGAUGUGACCACACUGCAGAGUUCGCUAAUGGCCAGUUCCAAAUUUAAGGGUGUGGACAUAUUGUUGACAUCACAAUGGCCAAAAGGAGUGUGGCAAUAUGGAAAUAAUCUGGAAGCUAUUGAUAUAAAGUCAUGCGGCUCUAUCUCUGUAGCUCAUCUUGCAUUUGCUCUAAAACCACGAUAUCACUUUGCUGCAUUGGAAGGAGCCAAUUAUGAAAGGUUGCCUUACAGAAACCAUAUGACACUACAGGAAAAUGCACAGCAUGUCAGCAGGUUCAUAGCACUGGCAAAUCUCAGCAAUUCUAGUAAGAAAAAGUACUUGUAUGCAUUUAACAUUAUGCCGCUAAGUUCUAUGGAUCCAGUUGAACUAGUGAAACAGCCUAUGGAUGUCACAGAAAGUCCAUAUAGGAAAAUGACCAAGGAAUUUCAAAAAACAAAACUAGGGGAAACUGCAACGGAAGAGUCUCAGUUCUUCUUUGACUUGAGCAAACGAGAAGGAAAGAAAAGAUCCUCCGAAGGAGGAAGACCUUCACCUCAUCAAUCAAAACAGCCCCGAAAGCCACCUCAGCCCACAGGUCCUUGCUGGUUUUGCCUUGCUAGUCCUGAAGUUGAAAAGCACUUGGUUAUCAGUAUUGGUACGCAUUGUUAUAUUGCCCUUGCAAAAGGUAGCUUAACCCCUGAUCAUGUACUUAUUUUGCCCAUUGGACACCAUCAGUCAGUGCUAGAGCUUCCUUCGGAAGUCAUAGAAGAAGUAGAGGAGUGUAAACUGGCAUUGAAAAAGUUUUACAAGAGCAUUGGGAAAAGGUUUGUUAUGUUUGAAAGAAACUACAGGAGUCAACACUUACAGUUGCAGGUGGUUCCUGUCCCUGUUCAAUGUUGUACGAUUGAUGAUAUUAAAGAGGCUUUUAUUGUGCAAGCAGAGGAACAGCAGAUGGAGCUCUUGGAGAUCCCUGAACAUUCCGAUCUCAAGCAAAUAAUUCAACCUGGAUCGGCAUAUUUCUAUGUUGAACUGGACAGUGGAGAAAAACUGUUGCACAGAAUCAAGAAGCAAUUCCCUUUACAGUUUGGAAGGGAGGUUUUGGCAAGUGAAUCUGUCCUAAAUAUACCAGAUAAAGCCAACUGGAGGGAAUGUAAAUAUAGCCGAGAAGAUGAGGAAGAAUUUGCUAAGGCUUUCAGGGAAGGAUUUCAACCAUAUGAUUUUUCCUUGCUUGAGUGAAUAAGAUUGUAACAUAUUUAAAUUAUUAUGAAUUCUUCCAAUAGCACAGGUACAAUUUCCAAAACCUGUGCACAGAUACCUUAGUGUGAACCAUGGACUUUGGUGUUGACAUUAUUCUACCUUCUUGAGUUGGGUCCUGAGCCCUAGAAAAAGCAAAGAUAUUUUGGGUUAGAAAUGGAUAUUACGAUUAUGGGGAACUAAUAAGAAUGCUACCUCAAGCUGCUUUGAGAUGGUUGUCUCCUUGUGAUUGCUCGAAUACACGACCACAACCUGUACCUGAGCCUCUUGUGGUUCAUUUGUCAAAGAUACCACAACAAUUGGCAUAGUUGGCAGAAUACUCGGAUCGGAUCCUAGGGACGGCUCUGCAAAGUGGAACUAAUCUCAACAACUGACCGGUGAAGACUGGGAUGGUUAUCUGCUUAAGUUCACAAUAUUAAUUGCAAUAUCGACGCUCGUGGGCAUGGCGAUACAGGCAACAAGGUCAGGGAUUGUCACGGCUCGACCCGCACUGCAGGAGGGACUUUGGUACAGCAUGGACAGUGCUGAAUGCAACACACAAUGGGGAAUGCUAAAUGUAACAGUAGAAGAACAAGUGUAUUUGAAUUGUAGCAAGGGUUUGCUUCAGAUUGGGUGCGGAAGUCUCAGGGAUAUGACACGCAUGAGCGGUUGGUGGGGGCUAUUCGGGAAAGCUGGCUCUUAUGUUAAGUUUCCAAAUCCAACUACUGUGUGCUUUAAACAUAAGGAGUGGGCAGAGGAGUUUGAUUUUUGUUUGUGAAACAGAGUUAUGUUUAUGUAGCAUGCUUGACAAUGUAUGCACCGAUGAUUACUCAUUCCCACCCUCAGAAUUAUAAAUGGAACAUUUGUAGCCCCAACGAUAACGAUGUACCAACUUGGAGAAAUAGUGAUGGUAGACGAACAUGGGAGAUACAUCCUAGAGAGGAGAUUAGUACCACUACCCAGCCACGUCCCACGAUUGUAUCAACAAUCCAAGCAGAGGCAAUUGAAGCCUCUCAGCCCACACCAAUUGGCCCAUCUUGUCCGGCUAUGAGUCCAGGUCUGAUGAGUGGUCUCGUAUUGGUUAAUUAUAAUAAAGUUUUGUAUGAUAACGUGCAUCAUGAGCUCGUACCUGUAGCCUUGAACAUAUCCGAUAUAGCCCUGCCCCAGUGGUGCUCAAUCCAUAUUCAUGCGCUUUAUACAGCUCUGAUGGGCUAGUUGAUGACUGAAGCAGCUCAGUUCAGUGGUGGAAUGCAAUCAAUGGUUACACCUCCAGGUUUAGGAGGGAACCGAGUUAAGUGCAGCCUGAUAAAUGACGCUGCUAUGAUAUUCAAUACAGGGACAUCAAUGGUUAAUUCUAUUGACCUGGCAAUUGUUGACCAGAAGGGCCGGACCUUGAGCUCCAAACUUAAGGAAAUUUUAGAGUGGGACAGGAAAUUUACAACAUCCAGUUAAAUACAGACCAAGACAAGACACAGUUAAUUCAAAACCUGGCUACCGUGCUCGAAGGUCAUGCGGUAUCUAUCAAUAAACUGAUCAGGAUAGGAAAAAAAUAUUUCGGAUGAAGCAAACAGAAAUGAUGUUUGCAGCACCUAUGGAUCCUGGGCAUUGAAACAAGCUCAAGAGAAUUUAAGACAGAUUAAUGAAGGGGUAGUCCCUUUAUGGGUAACUAAUGAACAUUUAUUUAAUCUUUCACGACAUAAGGAUCAUGACUUGACUGGGUGCCAGCUCAGAGGUUUAACGUGUAUAUAGAAUGCACGUUGAAUGUAUAGUGAAUAAUAACAUGCUAAUAGGCAUUAACUUAGUGAUACCUGUUAUACCUAUGCCAACACCUGGCAGAACAUUAUAUAGAGUUGAAAAUAUUGGGGUGAUACAGGCAGAUUAUUAUAUUAGGUACCAUGACAUUCCGCCAAAUGCAGUGGAUAUAGAAGGGAGUAUAAUUAGCACCAAUUAGAAGGGUGUAGUAUAGAGGCCACCACAGUAGUAUGCGCACAUCCAAUAUAUAAGACGGAAGAAGCGAGUUGUGGAUUUAAAGCAGUAGCAAAUUGUACAAUGGAAACUACAUGGGCUGCAAAAGGACCGACCCAUGUUGCAUAUAUGGGGAAUGGGAGAUAUUGUAUUACCACGUGGCAGCAAAAGAUCCAGUAUGGGAGCAACCGGAUGUGCCCCAUCCACAAUCAUUCAGUGUGCCUACACCCACAGGUGCCAGCAAGGUUGGGGAAGGUGGAACUGGUCGAAAUAUACAAGAGAGGAGCGGCUACUAUUCAGGGCAUGGAAUGCCUUAAGGAUAACCUGACACAGUAUUUGAACCAGUUCUCUUAUGAAAUCCUCUUAAUACCAGAGCACCUAACCACGAUUCAGAGACAGGCUCAGCAGAUAUAUAGAACUUGCUAUACACUGCAGCAACAGGUUAGAGCCUUCAAAGAGGAUAUCGAGCAAAUAGAUUCCUCCACAUGAUGGGAGAUUCUGUGGAUUUGGGGCUCAAAUGUACAAAUACACCCAUGGAUUUGGAUUAUCUCCCAUGCCGUGGUUAUGAUUCAGCUGAUAUUAGUUAUAUAUUUAAUAUUCCUGAUUCAUCGUACCCAAAGGUCGCAAAAGAGGUGGCAUUGGGGGAUGUUUAACUGGUGGAGAAAAGGUUUAGCAAGUCAGAGGCCUGAAUUGAAGGGCCAGAUGAUACAGAUGGUCUGAGCUAGUACCUUUACAAUCCAAAGCUGGAUACUUGGCCAAUAUCAACCCACACCAGUACGUACGGUGGUACGUAAAGGGACGGACAGUACCACUGUAGUUGGCUAUCUUGGACUUGGCCAAGAGCCAAAAGGGAGAACUGUUAGGGGGAACACAGUAAGAAUUUAUUGAAAGGGAAUUACUUAGAAUCUCCAGGCAGACAGUGUCAUCAAGUACAUUAACAAUUAAGGGUUACCAGAUGAACUUUGCACAGCCUUAGGGCCUGUAAUCACCAGAAAGACCCUGGGAACCAGACUGGAGACGGAGGAUGAAAACAAUAUAGAUUAAGUGUGCUCUUCAACAGAUAAGGAAAGGACAGAUGGUCCCAGCUUAGACAGGGGAAGAAGGCUCUGUCAGGGUGAAGGGGGAUGUAUGUGCUGAACAAUGUUCUUGUAUGUGAUCAGUGAUGUAUAAAUAAGCAAUAUACUUGUAAUUUGGUAGAGUGCUACCUCAAGCUGCUUUGAGGUGGUUCUCUGCUUGCAAUUGCUCGAAUAAAUGAUCCUAACCUGA